Molecule: long non-coding RNA, 485 nt
Organism: Homo sapiens (human)
Lineage: Eukaryota; Metazoa; Chordata; Mammalia; Primates; Hominidae
Gene: MRPS31P5
Product: mitochondrial ribosomal protein S31 pseudogene 5
Source: Ensembl
ACUCUUGAUCAGUUGCCAUAGCCAUCUAUGAGAUUGUAUCUGGGCUUUGAACAGAAUGUUUAAUUGCAUUUUAUUAGAGUUGUGUGCUAUUGAUAGAGGAUAAGAGAGGGCCAGGAGCUGACUAAGGCUUUGGAACAGAAACCAGAUGAUGCACAAUAUUAUUGUCAAAGAGCUUAUUGUCACAUUCUUCUUGGGAGUUACUAUGUUGCUGUUGCCGACACAAAGAAGUCUUAUGAACUCAAUCCAAAUAAUUCCACUGCUAUGCUGAGAAAAGGGGGCUGGCGGCAUGGAGUCUUGCUCUGUCACCCAUCCUCGAGUGCAAUGGCACCAUCUUAGUUCACUGCAGCCUUGAAUUCCAGGGCUCGAGCCAUCCUUCUGCCUCUGCCUCCUGAGUAGGUGGGACUACAGGCAUGUGCCACCAUACUGAGCUAAUUUGUUAAACACUUUUUUUGUAGAGACGAGGUCUUGCUACGUUUCCCAGACUG